Molecule: ribosomal RNA, 1017 nt
Filed under: Cookeina speciosa
Lineage: Eukaryota; Fungi; Ascomycota; Pezizomycetes; Pezizales; Sarcoscyphaceae
Description: SSU rRNA
Rfam family: Eukaryotic small subunit ribosomal RNA
Source: RNAcentral
UAUACAGUGAAACUGCGAAUGGCUCAUUAAAUCAGUUAUCGUUUAUUUGAUAGUACCUUACUACUUGGAUAACCGUGGUAAUUCUAGAGCUAAUACAUGCUAAAAAUCCCGACCCCUGGAAGGGAUGUAUUUAUUAGAUAAAAAACCAAUGCCUUCGGGCUCCUUGGUGAUUCAUGAUAACUUAACGAAUCGCAUGGCCUUGCGCCGGCGAUGGUUCAUUCAAAUUUCUGCCCUAUCAAGUUUCGAUGGUAGGAUAGUGGCCUACCAUGCUUUCAACGGGUAACGGGGAAUUAGGGUUCUAUUCCGGAGAGGGAGCCUGAGAAACGGCUACCACAUCCAAGGAAGGCAGCAGGCGCGCAAAUUACCCAAUCCCGACACGGGGAGGUAGUGACAAUAAAUACUGAUACAGGGCGCUUUCGCGUCUUGUAAUUGGAAUGAGUACGAUCUAAAAACUCUAACGAGGAACAAUUGGAGGGCAAGUCUGGUGCCAGCAGCCGCGGUAAUUCCAGCUCCAAUAGCGUAUAUUAAAGUUGUUGCAGUUAAAAAGCUCGUAGUUGAACCUUGGGCCGGGGUGGCGGGUCCGCCUCACCGCGUGCACUCGUCCGCCCUGGCCUUUCCUUCUGGCGAGCCCCAUGCCCUUCACUGGGUGUGGCGGGGAACCAGGACUUUUACUUUGAAAAAAUUAGAGUGUUCAAAGCAGGCAUAUGCUCGAAUACAUUAGCAUGGAAUAAUAGAAUAGGACGUGUGGUUCUAUUUUGUUGGUUUCUAGGACCACCGUAAUGAUUAAUAGGGAUAGUCGGGGGCAUCCGUAUUCAACUGUCAGAGGUGAAAUUCUUGGAUUUGUUGAAGACGAACUACUGCGAAAGCAUUUGCCAAGGAUGUUUUCAUUAAUCAGGAACGAAAGUUGAGGGAUCGAAGACGAUCAGAUACCGUCGUAGUCUCAACCAUAAACUAUGCCGACUAGGGAUCGGGCGAUGUUCUUAUUUUGACCCGCUCGGAACCUUACGAGAAAUCAAA